RNAcentral lists this ribosomal RNA (253 nucleotides) under uncultured bacterium. RNAcentral describes it as "partial 16S ribosomal RNA". It matches the Rfam family "Bacterial small subunit ribosomal RNA", at positions 524 to 776 of the family's 1533-position model. The record is from RNAcentral.
UACGUAGGGGGCAAGCGUUGUCCGGAUUUAUUGGGCGUAAAGAGCGUGUAGGCGGCCGUACAGGUCAGCUGUGAAAACUCGAGGCUCAACCUCGAGACGUCGGUUGAAACCGUACGGCUAGAGUCCGGAAGAGGAGAGUGGAAUUCCCGGUGUAGCGGUGAAAUGCGCAGAUAUAGGAAGGAACACCAGUGGCGAAGGCGACCACCUGGACUGAUACUGACACUGAGGUGCGAAAGCGUGGGGAGCAAACAGG